Lepisosteus oculatus (spotted gar) is the source of this 119-nucleotide ribosomal RNA. The record is from Ensembl. NCBI's taxonomy places the organism in Eukaryota, Metazoa, Chordata, Actinopteri, Semionotiformes, Lepisosteidae.
ACUAGCAGCCUUAUCACCCUGCAACUCACAACUGGCAACCCACUGAAGCUAAGCAGGUGUGAGCCUGGUCAGUACCUGGAUGGGAGACCUCCUGGGAAAAACUAAGGUUGCUGCUGGGA